Molecule: long non-coding RNA, 206 nt
Filed under: Ananas comosus (pineapple)
Lineage: Eukaryota; Viridiplantae; Streptophyta; Magnoliopsida; Poales; Bromeliaceae
Description: long non-coding RNA (ACOM_LNC021398)
Source: RNAcentral
CCCAAAUCCAACUAUGGCAGAAGAUAAUAAAAUGUAAAAUAUCUCCAAAUUUAUCUCCAAAUCCAAACAAAUUAGAAAUAACCAAAUAACUCAACUCAAAAUAGAGAAAAUAUACAACUUUCCAAAAAUAACUUUAAAAUGCAGGCCUAAAUAGUUGAAUUUCGGUUCCAAACUCGGCCAGAAUAGCUUUGCGGUUCAAAGUAUAG